This 1179-nucleotide ribosomal RNA is filed under the name Triticum aestivum (bread wheat). RNAcentral's name for it is "partial small subunit ribosomal RNA". Lineage: Eukaryota; Viridiplantae; Streptophyta; Magnoliopsida; Poales; Poaceae. The record is from RNAcentral.
AUGCUUCAUUUCGCUUCGAUCCAGGGCUGCCUGGUGAGCUGCCUGUUCCUGUUCCUGGUGGAGGAGGCGGGGCUUGAUGUCAACUCGGAGUCAAAGGCAGGUGUGACACCCAUGGUCCUCGCCGCACUCCAGGGAAAUGUCGAGGUUACGAGGUACCUUCUUGAUCAUGGCGGUGACCCUGCGAUGCCCGAUGAGAGGGGCUCCACGCCGCUGCACAAUGCAGCAGCGGCAGGGCACUGCGAGGCUGUAAGGCUAUUGCUGUCGAAAGGAGUUAAUCUGGAUCCUAUCCAUUACCAAGGGACACGAUUACACUUGGCUGCUGUGGAGGACCAAGAUCAGGUUGUAAUGGUUCUGCUGGAGCAUGGGGCUGAUCCCAAUAAAGAUGUUCAUCACGUAUUUUCAUACCUCAUGAUGACUGUCUGUGGGAAGUCCUUGAAAUGCAUGAGGCAACUUAUUGAGCAUGGAGCAAUACCUAUCGAGCUAGCAGCAGAUAGUGAUCGACACAAGCUUGUUCAAAUUCUAUUCCCUAGGACAAAACCAAUUAAAUCUCUGCCAGAUUGGAGUGUUGAUGGGAUAAUUAAAACUGUGAAUUCUCCAAAAAUCAAUGCUCCUCCGAUUGGUAAUGCAGGGUUAGAUGUUCCACGAGCUGCAGGCCAAACCAUGAAAGCAAUUAUGGAACUACUGAGAGUUUGUACUAUGUACCCGUUGCUGGUCUUUUUGCUUGCCAUCCUUCUAUUAUCUACUGGGGUGCAUUCCAUCAGACAUGAUACAAGUUUCAGUGAGGGCACUUGUCGAUAUGACAUGAUCAGUCUUGCAGUCCUCUCAUGCAUUCAACCGGACAAGCCAUGGAAGUCACCCUCAGUCUCAUGCUGCAAAGCACUGAUACAUGCAAUUGACGAGUUGCCGGCUAGCGGUGAGAAUGGAAAGUGUUGUUUAUGCCGUUUCAUGAGGGCAAAGCUUCAUUAUCCUGAAUUGGCAGCAACAUAUAUCUCUUGCCAUGGAAAGGACAGAGCUGUUGUUGCAAAAUGGUCGUUUCCUGUCGUGGUAUGCGGCAAAGCUUGUUCACGAAAAGAGAUUGCCCUCCUCGUAAGGGGACUGUCAUGGAGAGGCCUCCCUCAAAUUCACAUGGCAGCAAGAUCCUUUUUAUCUUGUUUGCAGCUCUCUUCAUCAUUCUGUUGA